UCUUCUUUUCUUGUUGUUGUUUUUAUUGUUGCUGUCUAUUGAUUUUAUUUAUUAUUGUUUUUGUUGAGAUUUGAUGUUUAACUAUUCUAUUGAUUUUAUUUUGUUGUUGGUGUUGUUGUUGGUGGUGGUGUUCUUCUUCUUCUUCUUCUUCUUCUUCUUCUUCUCCUUUUUCAGCUUCUUCUUUUUCUUCUUCUUCUUCUUCUUAUCAUUAUUGUUGAUGU
RNAcentral lists this long non-coding RNA (221 nucleotides) under Lathyrus oleraceus (garden pea). Its description in RNAcentral is "Pisum sativum (pea) long non-coding RNA (PSAT_LNC001234)". Lineage: Eukaryota; Viridiplantae; Streptophyta; Magnoliopsida; Fabales; Fabaceae. The record is from RNAcentral.